This 473-nucleotide ribosomal RNA is filed under the name uncultured bacterium. Its description in RNAcentral is "bacterial SSU rRNA". It matches the Rfam family "Bacterial small subunit ribosomal RNA", at positions 335 to 801 of the family's 1533-position model. The record is from RNAcentral.
ACUCCUACGGGAGGCAGCAGUAGGGAAUCUUCCACAAUGGGCGCAAGCCUGAUGGAGCAACACCGCGUGAGUGAAGAAGGGUUUCGGCUCGUAAAGCUCUGUUGUUAAAGAAGAACACGUAUGAGAGUAACUGUUCAUACGUUGACGGUAUUUAACCAGAAAGUCACGGCUAACUACGUGCCAGCAGCCGCGGUAAUACGUAGGUGGCAAGCGUUAUCCGGAUUUAUUGGGCGUAAAGAGGGUGCAGGCGGUUUUCUAAGUCUGAUGUGAAAGCCUUCGGCUUAACCGGAGAAGUGCAUCGGAAACUGGAUAACUUGAGUGCAGAAGAGGGUAGUGGAACUCCAUGUGUAGCGGUGGAAUGCGUAGAUAUAUGGAAGAACACCAGUGGCGAAGGCGGCUACCUGGUCUGCAACUGACGCUGAGACUCGAAAGCAUGGGUAGCGAACAGGAUUAGAUACCCUGGUAGGAUAGCG